This 293-nucleotide ribosomal RNA is filed under the name uncultured bacterium. Its description in RNAcentral is "partial 16S ribosomal RNA". It matches the Rfam family "Archaeal small subunit ribosomal RNA", at positions 455 to 747 of the family's 1478-position model. The record is from RNAcentral.
GUGCCAGCAGCCGCGGUAAUACCGGCAGUCCAAGUGAUGGCCGAUAUUAUUGGGCCUAAAGCGUCCGUAGCCUGCUGUGUAAGUCCAUUGGGAAAUCGACGCGCUCAACGCGUCGGCGUCCGGUGGAAACUACACAGCUUGGGGCCGAGAGACUUGACGGGUACGUCCGGGGUAGGAGUGAAAUCCCGUAAUCCUGGACGGACCGCCGAUGGCGAAAGCACUCUGAGAAGACGGCUUCGACAGUGAGGGACGAAAGCUGGGAUCUCGAACCGGAUUAGAUACCCCGGUAGUCC